ACACCUCAACUCUUCAUGGUUUUCCAUGAUGAGAUUGGACUUUGGGGGUUUUGUUGGCCUACGGUCGGCUCCUCUGAAAUGAAUCAGCUUGCCAGUGUUUGGUGGGCAUCACAGGUGUGAUAAUUAUCUACGCUUGUGGUGUUCCACCAGGUAACCUUCAGCAGUGGAGGUUUGCUGGAGCUCACAGAUGUCUCUCCUCGGUGAGGACAGCUUUUGAAC
Molecule: unclassified non-coding RNA, 219 nt
Filed under: uncultured Thelephoraceae
Lineage: Eukaryota; Fungi; Basidiomycota; Agaricomycetes; Thelephorales; Thelephoraceae
Description: sequence contains ITS2
Source: RNAcentral